ACUCCUACGGGAGGCAGCAGUGGGGAAGUAUUGCACAAUGGGGAAACCCGUACGAUGCAGCCAUGCCGCGUGAGUGAUGAAGGCCCUAGGGUUGUAAAGCUCUUUCAGCGAGGAGGAUAAUGACGUUACUCGCAGAAGAAGCCCGGCUAACUUCGUGCCAGCAGCCGCGGUAAUACGAAGGGGGCUAGCGUUGUUCGGAAUCACUGGGCGUAAAGCGCACGUAGGCGGAUUGAUAAGUUAGGGGUGAAAUCCCGGGGCUCAACCUCGGAACUGCCUUUGAUACUGUCAGUCUUGAGUCCGAGAGAGGUGAGUGGAACUCCGAGUGUAGAGGUGAAAUUCGUAGAUAUUCGGAAGAACACCAGUGGCGAAGGCGGCUCACUGGCUCGGUACUGACGCUGAGGUGCGAAAGCGUGGGGAGCAAACAGGAUUAGAUACCCCUGGUAGGAUAGCG
RNAcentral lists this ribosomal RNA (451 nucleotides) under uncultured bacterium. Its description in RNAcentral is "bacterial SSU rRNA". It matches the Rfam family "Bacterial small subunit ribosomal RNA", at positions 335 to 799 of the family's 1533-position model. The record is from RNAcentral.